This 265-nucleotide long non-coding RNA is filed under the name Capsicum annuum. Its description in RNAcentral is "long non-coding RNA (CANN_LNC020101)". Lineage: Eukaryota; Viridiplantae; Streptophyta; Magnoliopsida; Solanales; Solanaceae. The record is from RNAcentral.
UUUGAUUCCUGCCACCAAAAUAAUUGACUAAUUCUUCGACUAUCAAUUCAAUUUCUCACAUCUAAAUCCAACAUCAACCAACCCAUAACAAAGAUUCAAACAUGCUCAAACAACAAAUCAUUUUCGAUUAAUUAACCAACUUCAACAUAGAAUCACCCAAAACAAAUAGACUUGCUCAACCACACAAUCAAGAUCAUAUCAUCAACCAAAGCAUUUCAUCCAUAACAUUGGGUAUCGUAAAUAAAGAAAUAAAAUAUAGUAGAGG